UCAGAGCCACUUUGGCUGGUUUGUUUUCAUUUCAUCUUCUCAUCUCUCCACGAUUUUCUUUUCUUAUUUAUUUUUGGAUCCGGGCUGUUCCUUUACUCCCUUGUGAUCGCCAGUUAUUAAAAAAAAAAAAGAGAAAAAAAAAAAAAAUCGAUCAAAAAAAGAAAAAAAGUAAAAGUUUUGGCUUGAAUCACUUCUGAAGAGAAAUCCAGGGGGAGUGGUGGAAGAGAAACCCUGCUGGCUGAAGAGAAACCCAGCCUUAGGACAGUUAAGGCGGAUCCACACAAAAAUCUCUUCAUUGUUCUUUCUCUUUUCUUUUCCCACAAAGUUUGUUUUGGGUUUUGACUGCUGAUUUUUUU
This 356-nucleotide long non-coding RNA is filed under the name Brassica rapa (field mustard). Its description in RNAcentral is "long non-coding RNA (BRAP_LNC008230)". The record is from RNAcentral. Lineage: Eukaryota; Viridiplantae; Streptophyta; Magnoliopsida; Brassicales; Brassicaceae.